AACGAACGCUGGCGGCAUGCCUAACACAUGCAAGUCGAACGAGACCUUCGGGUCUAGUGGCGCACGGGUGCGUAACGCGUGGGAACCUGCCCUUAGGUUCGGAAUAACUCCCCGAAAGGGGUGCUAAUACCGGAUAAUGUCUUCGGACCAAAGAUUUAUCGCCUUUGGGUGGGCCCGCGUUGGAUUAGCUAGUUGGUAGGGUAAAAGCCUACCAAGGCGACGAUCCAUAGCUGGUCUGAGAGGAUGAUCAGCCACACUGGGACUGAGACACGGACCAGACUCCUACGGGAGGCAGCAGUGGGGAAUAUUGGACAAUGGGCGAAAGCCUGAUCCAGCAAUGCCGCGUGAGUGAUGAAGGCCUUAGGGUUGUAAAGCUCUUUUACCCGGGAUGAUAAUGACAGUACCGGGAGAAUAAGCUCCGGCUAACUCCGUG
RNAcentral lists this ribosomal RNA (433 nucleotides) under uncultured bacterium. Its description in RNAcentral is "partial 16S ribosomal RNA". It matches the Rfam family "Bacterial small subunit ribosomal RNA", at positions 29 to 507 of the family's 1533-position model. The record is from RNAcentral.